UACGGAAGGGGCAAGCGUUGUUCGGAAUUACUGGGCGUAAAGGGCGCGUAGGCGGCCUGUUAAGUCGAACGUGAAAUCCCCGGGCUCAACCCGGGAACUGCGUCCGAUACUGGCAGGCUUGAAUUCGGGAGAGGGAUGCGGAAUUCCAGGUGUAGCGGUGAAAUGCGUAGAUAUCUGGAGGAACACCGGUGGCGAAGGCGGCAUCCUGGACCGAGAUUGACGCUGAGGCGCGAAAGCCAGGGGAGCAAACGGG
Molecule: ribosomal RNA, 253 nt
Filed under: uncultured bacterium
Lineage: Bacteria
Description: partial 16S ribosomal RNA
Rfam family: Bacterial small subunit ribosomal RNA
Source: RNAcentral